CAUAGCCUCCACAUAGAAUUCUCUCAACAAAUUCUCUCUACCUUUUUCUCUUCCAAGUGCUAGAGACCACACUUCUAUCCUUAGAAUCCAAGAGAAUAACAAGAUAACUCUUACGAACAUAAGAGACGUUCGUGAGAAAAGUAAGAGGAAAUCGUGAAGAUUAGGAUUCAACAAAGACUUUGUAGGUAAGGACACGACGUAGGUGGCAUGACUGGAUGCUGCUUAAGGGGCCAACCAUCAAACUCACUGUUUUGGUCAUAUAUGCAUUUUUUUCCACUAUGCUAACGUUUUAUAGAUCCCAAUGUUUCGUAAAAGAAACUUUUUGUAAAGUUUUGCUACUUAAUUAAUAAAAUUUUAGAUAUGUUCUUUUAAAAUUUUUUUGCCCAAGACUCAUCUCAUGAUAGAAAAGUCUAACUAUGCAUGUUGUAGCAGUCGGGCCUUGUUAUGUAAGGAUCAGGUUGUUACGGUUUUAUACCUAUUUUAAAAACGUAAAAGUAAUUUCAACUAUUUUUUAAAUCACUCCCAUAUGUACACUAAGAGUACUAAUGCAUUUUUUAAAAGUUCACAAAUAUUUGAAACGAGCAUUAAUGGUUUGUAUUCAUAUAUUGACAAUACAGGUAUUUUUGAAAACUUUUUGAAAGUUGAAGGACACUUUUGAAACCGAACACUAAUGGUUUCCAUGCAAACUAACAACAAUGGUACUUCUGAACUGUUUUUGAAAGUUUAAGGGUAAUUUUGAAACUUUUGAAAGUUCAAGAUUAUUUUUUUACACGAAAUACAAAGUCUAGGGAUAUUUUGUAUAGUUUAA
Molecule: long non-coding RNA, 808 nt
Organism: Benincasa hispida (wax gourd)
Lineage: Eukaryota; Viridiplantae; Streptophyta; Magnoliopsida; Cucurbitales; Cucurbitaceae
Source: RefSeq, a predicted model, not a curated record